CGCUGGCGGCGUGCCUAACACAUGCAAGUCAACUUGACUGAAGGAGCAAUCUGACAGUAGAGUGGCGCAAGGGUGCGUAACGCGUAAGUAACUUGCCCAAGGUAAGGAAUAACGUCGAGAAAUCGGCGCUAAUACCUCAUAAUGCAGCGGAUCCGCAUGGAUAUGUAGUUAAAGGUUUACCGCCUUGGGAUAGGCUUGCGUCUGAUUAGCUAGUUGGUGUGGUAACGGCACACCAAGGCUACGAUCAGUAACUGGUCUGAGAGGAUGAUCAGUCACACUGGAACUGAGACACGGUCCAGACUCCUACGGGAGGCAGCAGUGAGGAAUAUUGGGCAAUGCUCGAAAGAGUGACCCAGCAACGCCGCGUGGAGGAUGAAGGUAUUCUAUAUCGUAAACUCCUGUGAGAGCAGACGAAAGACAGAUUAUUAAUCUGGAUGACUGUAUGCUCAGAGGAAGCCCCGGCUAACUACGUG
RNAcentral lists this ribosomal RNA (473 nucleotides) under uncultured bacterium. Its description in RNAcentral is "bacterial SSU rRNA". It matches the Rfam family "Bacterial small subunit ribosomal RNA", at positions 34 to 507 of the family's 1533-position model. The record is from RNAcentral.